Molecule: transfer RNA, 24 nt
Filed under: Cinnyris minullus (tiny sunbird)
Lineage: Eukaryota; Metazoa; Chordata; Aves; Passeriformes; Nectariniidae
Description: tRNA-Arg
Source: RNAcentral
CAGAAAGUUAGUCUAAACAAGACA